RNAcentral lists this transfer RNA (62 nucleotides) under Stegodyphus mimosarum. It matches the Rfam family "tRNA". From Rfam's summary of the family: Transfer RNA (tRNA) molecules are approximately 80 nucleotides in length. Their secondary structure includes four short double-helical elements and three loops (D, anti-codon, and T loops). The record is from Rfam by way of RNAcentral. Lineage: Eukaryota; Metazoa; Arthropoda; Arachnida; Araneae; Eresidae.
GCCUUCGUGGUGUAGUGGUCAACACGUUCGAGAGGUCCGAGGUUCGAAUCCCGGCGAGGACA